Long non-coding RNA from Brassica rapa (field mustard), 767 nucleotides. RefSeq lists it as uncharacterized. NCBI's taxonomy places the organism in Eukaryota, Viridiplantae, Streptophyta, Magnoliopsida, Brassicales, Brassicaceae. The record is from RefSeq and is a predicted model, not a curated record.
ACUUCCAGGAAGUUCAGACGACUUCUAGGAAGUCCAGACGACUUUCAGGAAGUCCAGACUUUUGAAAUGGAAGUCGUCUGGAAGACUUCCUAGAAGUCAUCUAGUGCAUUAUAUUUUAGACGACUAACAUGUAAGUCGUCCCAGAAGUCUUACAGAUCUGAAAAACCUGCAUAUCAAAUCCAGAUCUAAAAAAACUGCAUAUUCAAAAAUGUUCAAAUGGCUUAAAAACAGAAAAAUGAGUGGAAGAUUAGAUAAAUCUCAUUUAUAGAACACACAAAAAUACAUAUCUAAAAUUAAUAGAUCUACCUUUAAAUGAGUGGAAAAUGAGUAUCAUCUGAUUAAAAACCUACAAAAAGAUAGAUUAGUAAGAAAGACAUGAGACAAAACUGAAAAAUUCAUAUAAAGUUUGGUGUUUUCAAGUCAAAGAGAUUAGAGUAGGUUUGAAGAGUUUUAGUUUUGGGAAAAAAAUAAGAACUUUAUAUAACAAGAAGUUACCAAAUGAAGAACAAUCAGACAUAAAAACUUACCAAAACGCUUAGAUCUAUUAUGAAGCAAAAUAAAUGCAAAUAAUUUCUCAAUAAUUUAUAAACAUAAAAUUAUACAAAUUUAAGAAGCAUAAUAUCUAAGUGUGAUAAAAUAAUUACUUGUCAAUUAAAAAAUAAUAAAUAUAUAAACAUUAUUAAAAUUGAAAAUAUUAAAUAAUAUAUAAUAUUAUUUUGGUGUAAUAUUUGGUGUUUUGGUUAGAGAUGACAAAACAAAAAUGACAU